UGGGGAAUUUUGGACAAUGGGCGAAAGCCUGAUCCAGCAAUGCCGCGUGUGUGAUGAAGGCCUUCGGGUUGUAAAGCACUUUUGGCGGGAACGAAAGGGACUGUGCCAAUACCACGGUUCGAUGACGGUACCCGCAGAAUAAGCACCGGCUAACUACGUGCCAGCAGCCGCGGUAAUACGUAGGGUGCAAGCGUUAAUCGGAAUUACUGGGCGUAAAGAGUGCGCAGGCGGUUUUGCAAGACCGAUGUGAAAUCCCCGGGCUUAACCUGGGAACUGCAUUGGUGACUGCAAGGCUAGAGUGUGUCAGAGGGAGGUGGAAUUCCGCAUGUAGCAGUGAAAUGCGUAGAUAUGCGGAGGAACACCGAUGGCGAGGGCAGCCUCCUGGGAUAACACUGACGCU
RNAcentral lists this ribosomal RNA (400 nucleotides) under uncultured bacterium. Its description in RNAcentral is "bacterial SSU rRNA". It matches the Rfam family "Bacterial small subunit ribosomal RNA", at positions 355 to 747 of the family's 1533-position model. The record is from RNAcentral.